This is a non-coding RNA of Solanum lycopersicum (tomato), 1069 nucleotides long. NCBI's taxonomy places the organism in Eukaryota, Viridiplantae, Streptophyta, Magnoliopsida, Solanales, Solanaceae. The record is from RefSeq and is a predicted model, not a curated record.
AGUUGUCCGAUUCGAGGCUUGAAAAUGGAAUCUUCUUUGGAAAGGAAUGCAAAUUCAAAUUGGUUGAGUCCCAAACGAGUAUCAAAUAUUAGAGGAGAAAAUUAAAAAAAAUCAAGAAAAUCAUAGUGAAAAAAGAUAAAUUAAGCACAUUAGCCUAAUUAAUAAGAGAAAGAGUUACUGGUCAACAUAUAUUACACUUAUACUACUAUAGUUUUAUAUCUUAAUUAUUAUAUACCUAAAUUAUCACUUAAUUUUAAAUAUCAAUGUAUAUUUUUUAAUACAAAGAAAGUGAGUGUGUUAUCUCUUCAUUGUAAUUUGUAAAUUAUUAAAAUUUUAUCAUGUACACAUCUGGUCAACGAGAGUGAUAAUUUUAAUAGGUAAAUUAUGAAUGAUUGAAAUAAACUCGCGAUAAAAUAAUUUUUUUAGGUGUAUUUUUUAUGCUUAAUUUUAAAAGAAAAUAAAAGGUCUUAAUUUCAUAAACCCCUUCCAAGUUGGAAAUAAGAGGGUUUUUUUUUUUCCGUGCUUUGCGACAUUGUAGUCAUCUUCUCCAUUUCAAUCCCAACUAUCGAAGGCAAACGCCGGGAAAUGGGAGCAGCAAGCAAGGCAGGGGACUUGUUAUUUAAGGCCUUCGUCGGAGGGCUCGGUGUCACCACCAUUUACCUCACGGCCACAUUUUCCGUCAACGUAUACCGUGGUCUCUCUUGGCAUAAAGCACAAUCGAAAAAUGAGAAAGAAGGAUCUGUAGUUCAGCAGGAAGAAUGACCUGUCUUCAAGUCCUACCCUUGGGGUCCUUCCAGAAAUUUCGGAGUAUAUCUGAAUCUUGUCGCAUUAUGUAACGACUUUUUCACAGUUUGUCCGUAGGAUAUUUAAAACACAGCAGCACUUCAUAAUCUUCUCCAUCCAACAAACAAAUUGGAUGGACAAAGUAUGUCAUGUUUAUUCAAAUUCCAUUGCUAUAUUGUUGCUGAAAUUCUACACAAAUACAUUUGGAGUUCCACAGUUGUAUGAUUAAUUCUAUUUACAAGCAACAUACAUAGAUAGCAUGGCAAUGAAUUUUCCUUUUUGAGUA